Long non-coding RNA from Musa acuminata AAA Group (dessert banana), 3731 nucleotides. RefSeq lists it as uncharacterized. NCBI's taxonomy places the organism in Eukaryota, Viridiplantae, Streptophyta, Magnoliopsida, Zingiberales, Musaceae. The record is from RefSeq and is a predicted model, not a curated record. The transcript has 2 exons.
ACAGUUUCAGAGUCUCGCCGCUAUGGAUCCCUACCUCUUGGGUCACUCUACAACUCAGAAGUAGCCUAACCUCGUCUCUCGACUGAGGCUUGCAGAGGAAGGGUAAGAUGUGUUUUUGGUAGAUUUCAGAGAUCAUCGGGCAUCGGACGAACGCAGUUGAUGCAGAUGUGGGUAGGUAAUUGUCUCACAGUACUGAAACCCUAUGCUCUUUGCGUCCGUUCUUCCGAUCCGUUGAUUGCAAUCGCUGAUGAACCAAAUAGCUUCUUUGAUUUUGCGUCUUUUCCGGGUUAUUAGAUUCUUGAUCGGAGUCCGAUCUACGUUUUCGAUUCAAUGCAAUGGCAUUUCGAGUAGAAUCUCUUCUUCCUCACGGUAGGGACGUGUCCUAAUUCUUGGUGGGGCGCUCAAGUUGCGCACUCGCUGUAAAUAUGGACAGAGAACAAUUUGGUGGAAUUUAGGUGGGCUUUCUGUGAGACGUGGGGAGUCCAUAAAGGGCCACCAUACACAUAGCGCAUGCGAAGGAGAUGGAAGAAAGAGGCUUUGAAAUGUGUCCUUCCUCGUUCAUUCUGCCAUGUUUGAUUUGUGCUCCUUUUUCAUUUCGUGUCAUUGUUUCGUUGUUCCCGUUGCCGACUACUGUAUUGUCUCUGAUCAAACAUGUAAAAGGCUUACAAUAGAUUUGAUAAUUUCAUUUUGAUGAACUUUUAUGGUUGUUUCAGGGAUAUGUUUAGUUAUCAUGCAUAUAGUUACCGUGCAUAUACAAAACUACAUAGAAACAAGUCAUUCAAUCUACUAGUUUGGGAGGGAUCUAGCUCCAUAGAGUUGUGCGAAGUGUCAACCUAACGUUAAUACUCAAGAGCUAUCUAAAUGACACAUGAUUGAAUAGGCCUUUAUGGUAGUUUCUAGGGUCUUCCUUACGCUUAUCAAAUUUUACAUCGAAUGAAAGUCUUGGUUAUCAACAUAUGUGAAUUGUGUACCACCGAAGGAGAAUUCCAAGUGCAAGUGCCAACAAGUCUCAGGAUGAGGAUUUGAUCAUACAGAGAUAUUAUCGAAGCGGUUGAAGAGUUUGGAUUAUUCCAAAACUCAUAUUCGUUUAAGUGAGCUUGAUAUGUUAUACGACAAGAUCGAGUAAGCGAAUAUUGCUAUCGAGGAAGCAAAGGAAAAUAGAAUCGGUAUGAGCCCUGCAACAUGAUGGCAGAGACUGCAUGAGAGUUGUAGUUUAUCUUUCCAUUGAUCAAGUAAAAUUGUUCGGAGAACAUAGAGGUGUUAAAAUAAAUUGUCGAAAGAGGCGAAGAAGCGAUGAUGAGUCUAGAGAGACUAGGCUACCCAAAAGCAAGCGUCGGUUAGAAUAGAGAUGGACUCAGAUAAGUCUCAUAGUGCCGCAAAGGUAGAACUACUGAUCAUGAAGAAAAGGAUGCAUAUAUGAGGUAACAGAUAGUAGGGUAAUGGGCAUGACAACAUUAUGGUAUUAUAGAGGCAAAACUUUUGUGGAGUUAUCGAUCUCUUGCUUUUAUGAACGGAGAGCGUUAGAUCGUAAAAGGUGCCGAGGAGAUGGAGCAUGUAGAGGCAAACUCUAAGUAUCAAGACAAGACCAAAGGACAAUGGCCAAGAAACUUUAUAAGAUUGGUGUUAACAAGUUUCUCAUCAAAAUAGUUGAAAGUGAGAGAUUUCAGGUCGAUGCAAGAGUACUCGACCAAGGAACGAAAUAAGCAGUAUGCAGUGUUAUACAUUUUUUACUCAAAGGAGUAGAUGAUAGAAAUGAUGGAGAAGACGAUAUAAUCCCAAAAGUGAUCAAAAUUAUUUGAGACUUCCUCUAAAUUGAGGUAAAAUUUUACUCUUUAAGUAAAAUUUUUUGCAUUUCAAAAGUUUGAUGAUAACAAGGUAAAUCACAUUAGCUAACUUAAGGAGUGCAAACACUUUGGGUGUUUUGAAAGUGUCAGUAAAGAACGGGUGAAGGCUAGUAACCAAUUCAAUGCAUGGUAUAUAACCAUCGAGAAGGUGGGUAAAGUCGAGUAACCUUUGCCUUCUUAACUCUUAAGAGAACGAGCGAAAUUGAAUAUCGUAAUUCUCUUAUUUAUCUAGUAGAGGAGCGUUGCACAUGUUCAAAGAUCUUUCGAAGAAACCUAGUGGAAAACAACAAUUGUUAAAUCCUCACCAAUGAUAAUCGGUUCUACCAUGAACAACUUAUUGCAUCAUUUUCUAACAGAAUGAUAAUUGAAAGCGAAUAUGAUGUGAACCUACUUAAAGAUAAUAAAUAAUUAAAAGUAAAAUCAAUAAGUAAAUUUUACGGAGAAUAUACUUUAAUAACUUCAAAGUCGGUGAGGCGAUGCUCAUCAAAACUCUAAUAGACAUCUAACAGAAUGAUAAUUGAAAGCGAAUAUGAUGUGAACCUACUUAAAGAUAAUAAAUAAUUAAAAGUAAAAUCAAUAAGCAAAUUUUACGGAGAAUAUAUUUUAAUAACUUCAAAGUCGGUGAGGCGAUGCUCAUCAAAACUCUAAUAGACAUCUAACCAGUUUAAGCGAUGUGAGACAUUUGAGAGAUUGGCGCACAACAACAAAGAUAUUUUCCUUCAUCUAGGGGAUUUGAAUGAACCAAUAAAAAAAAGCACAAUUCGAUUGACCUCACACCAGAGUCAUUAGCGAGUUGAAGCAACGUGAUGGAUUAAAGUUCGACUACUCAACGAUAACGACGAAAAGCAGUUGAGAGUCAAGAGGCAUAUUGCAAUUGGAGUAGAAGAUUGAAGAUUCAGCAAAAACAAGAAGAUGCAGCAUCCAUAAAGGUUAUAACGAGAGUGUUUGAUGUCAUGGACAAAGUUAUAAAUAGUGUGUUUGAUAUAAUGCUUAUAUAUGUUCAUGUCUCACGAUUUUAUUUAAGCUUUGCACAAAAUGUAGAAGGCUUGUAGUAGAUUUGAUGGUCCCAUUUUGAUUAAUUUUUAUAUACAGUGCACACAAAAGUAAAACUGCAUAGAAACAGACCAUUCAGGCAAUUAUUUUAGGAGUUUUUAGCUCCAUAGAGUAGUAUAAAAUGUCAGUCAGCAUAGCACCCGAGAGCUAUCAUAGUAGCACAUGACAAGAUGGGCCUAUAUGAUAGUAUAUAGGAUUGGUUCGAGAUCUUGUUUCGCAACAAUAUUAUAUGGACAUUUAUGAGGAAUUUUGAUCACGGCGAAUCACCUUGGAAUUUUGUCGUGCAACUAUUUAGGAAUUCAGAAUUUACAAAAUUUAUGUUUGUAAUUUACAUUGACAUAACUAUUUGUAAGAUCUCAAAGUUCAACAUUUUUUCUAACAUAUCUUCUCUUUUGCAUAUCUUUUAAGGGAUCAUAAAACUUUUUGAAGAGACCAACCCUUUAUAAACAAACAUGUAAAGGACUGCUGCUCGAGAAGAUGACUGGUGUUAUGGAACAACGUGUUCAGCUUUAUUGUUUCUUGUGCAAUUGCAAGAGACGAGGAGCAAGAUAGAGUUUUUUCUCUGCUGAACAAAGUUGAUGAUAGGAUUCAGCUUUAUUGUUUCUUGUGCAAUUGCAAGAGAUGAUGAGCAAGAUAGUGAGCCUUCUCUCUGCCGAUCAAAGUUGAUGAUACGGUAAAUAAAUAAUGAGGAUCCUCAUCUAGACUGCAGAAUGUCCCUUUUUUAUUUAUCUCGUACGAUUACCUCGUGAGAGGGGAUGGAAGGAGGAGAACAAAUGCAGCAGCAGCCGUAUGGGAAUAUGCAAGUAGGCCUCAAUCCAUUCGUUCAUUUUUCCA